AUUGAACGCUGGCGGCAUGCUUUACACAUGCAAGUCGAACGGUAACAUGUUAAGCUGACGAGUGGCGAACGGGUGAGUAAUGCAUCGGAACGUGCCCGGUCGUGGGGGAUAACGCAGCGAAAGCUGCGCUAAUACCGCAUACGAUCUGAGGAUGAAAGCGGGGGACCGUAAGGCCUCGCGCGAUCGGAGCGGCCGAUGUCAGAUUAGGUAGUUGGUGGGGUAAAGGCUCACCAAGCCAACGAUCUGUAGCUGGUCUGAGAGGACAACCAGCCACACUGGGACUGAGACACGGCCCAGACUCCUACGGGAGGCAGCAGUGGGGAAUUUUGGACAAUGGGCGAAAGCCUGAUCCAGCAAUGCCGCGAGCAGGAAGAAGGCCUUCGGGUUGUAAACUGCUUUUGUACGGAGCGAAAAGGUCUCCUCUAAUACAGGGGGCUCAUGACGGUACCGUAAGAAUAAGCACCGGCUAACUACGUGCCAGCCGCCGCCGUAA
RNAcentral lists this ribosomal RNA (493 nucleotides) under uncultured bacterium. RNAcentral describes it as "partial 16S ribosomal RNA". It matches the Rfam family "Bacterial small subunit ribosomal RNA", at positions 30 to 523 of the family's 1533-position model. The record is from RNAcentral.